UACCAAAGUGCUUCCUUUAGUGUUGCUGA
Molecule: non-coding RNA, 29 nt
Filed under: Rattus norvegicus (Norway rat)
Lineage: Eukaryota; Metazoa; Chordata; Mammalia; Rodentia; Muridae
Source: RNAcentral